This 291-nucleotide unclassified non-coding RNA is filed under the name uncultured fungus. RNAcentral describes it as "partial contains 5.8S rRNA, ITS2 and 28S rRNA". It matches the Rfam family "Eukaryotic large subunit ribosomal RNA", at positions 668 to 961 of the family's 3401-position model. Lineage: Eukaryota; Fungi. The record is from RNAcentral.
AAGGAGUCUAACAUGCCUGCGAGUAUUUGGGUGGAAAACCCGAGUGCGCAAUGAAAGUGAAAGUUGAGAUCCCUGUCAUGGGGAGCAUCGACGCCCGGACCAGACCUCUUGUGACGGAUCUGCGGUAGAGCAUGUAUGUUGGGACCCGAAAGAUGGUGAACUAUGCCUGAAUAGGGUGAAGCCAGAGGAAACUCUGGUGGAGGCUCGUAGCGAUUCUGACGUGCAAAUCGAUCGUCAAAUUUGGGUAUAGGGGCGAAAGACUAAUCGAACCAUCUAGUAGCUGGUUCCUGC